UAUCUCAGAAUCUUGUAUCUUGAAUAAGAACUUGAAGGCAACUUUGCCAAGGUGAUUAGUUGCUUGUUGAUUUCCUCUUUUCCCUGUUGCCUAUAUUCUCUUUUCGCCACACAUGGUUUCAUUUUGGAAGGCAACUUUGCCGAGGUGAUUAAUUGAUUCUUGAUUACCUCUUUUCCCUGUUGCCUAUAUUAUGUUUGGCCAUACUUGGUUUCACUUGGGUUGAUCUAUUCCAUGUGGUUAUUGCCUGCUGUCCCAUAUAGGCCGAACAUCUUUUUCAUAAACAGUACAUUGUUGAAGUGAUUCAUUUUGAAGUCAUUGAUGUGAAAUGGUAUCUCAGAAUCUUGUAUCUUGAAUAAGAACUUGAAGGCAACUUUGCCAAGGUGAUUAGUUGCUUGUUGAUUUCCUCUUUUCCCUGUUGCCUAUAUUCUCUUUUCGCCACACAUGAUUUCAUUUUGGAAGGCAACUUUGCCGAGGUGAUUAAUUGAUUCUUGAUUACCUCUUUUCCCUGUUGCCUAUAUUAUGUUUGGCCAUACUUGGUUUCACUUGGGUUGAUCUAUUCCAUGUGGUUAUUACCUGCUGUCCCAUAUAGGCCGAACACCUUUUUCAUAAACAGUACAUUGUUGAAGUGAUUCAUUUUGAAGUCAUUGAUGUGAAAUGGUAUCUCAGAAUUUUGUAUCUUGAAUAAGAACUUGAAGGCAACUUUGCCAAGGUGAUUAGUUGCUUGUUGAUUUCCUCUUUUCCCUGUUGCCUAUAUUCUCUUUUCGCCACACAUGGUUUCAUUUUGGAAGGCAACUUUGCCGAGGUGAUUAAUUGAUUCUUGAUUACCUCUUUUCCCUGUUGCCUAUAUUAUGUUUGGCCAUGCUUGGGUUCAUUGGGGUUGAUCUAUUCCCUGUGGUUAUUAC
Molecule: long non-coding RNA, 902 nt
Filed under: Vitis vinifera (wine grape)
Lineage: Eukaryota; Viridiplantae; Streptophyta; Magnoliopsida; Vitales; Vitaceae
Description: long non-coding RNA (VVIN_LNC002448)
Source: RNAcentral